UAUCACUAAGCGGAGGAAAAGAAACCAACAGGGAUUGCCCUAGUAACGGCGAGUGAAGCGGCAACAGCUCAAAUUUGAAAGCUGGCCUUCGGGUCCGCAUUGUAAUUUGUAGAGGAUGCUUUGGGUGAAACGCCAGUCUAAGUUCCUUGGAACAGGACGUCAUAGAGGGUGAGAAUCCCGUAUGUGACUGGAAAUGUUAACCUAUGUAAAGCUCCUUCGACGAGUCGAGUUGUUUGGGAAUGCAGCUCUAAAUGGGAGGUAAAUUUCUUCUAAAGCUAAAUAUUGGCGAGAGACCGAUAGCGCACAAGUAGAGUGAUCGAAAGAUGAAAAGCACUUUGGAAAGAGAGUUAAAAAGCACGUGAAAUUGUUGAAAGGGAAGCGCUUGCAAUCAGACUUGUUUAAACUGUUCGGCCGGUCUUCUGACCGGUUUACUCAGUUUGGACAGGCCAGCAUCAGUUUCGGCGGCCGGAUAAAGGCUCUGGGAAUGUGGCCUUCACUUCGGUGAAGGUGUUAUAGCCCGGGGUGUAAUACGGCCAGCCGGGACUGAGGUCCGCGCUUCGGCUAGGAUGCUGGCGUAAUGGUUGUAAGCGACCCGUCUUGAAA
RNAcentral lists this ribosomal RNA (603 nucleotides) under Aureobasidium pullulans. Its description in RNAcentral is "eukaryotic LSU rRNA". It matches the Rfam family "Eukaryotic large subunit ribosomal RNA", at positions 41 to 659 of the family's 3401-position model. The record is from RNAcentral. Lineage: Eukaryota; Fungi; Ascomycota; Dothideomycetes; Dothideales; Saccotheciaceae.